This 91-nucleotide microRNA precursor is filed under the name Aedes aegypti (yellow fever mosquito). RNAcentral describes it as "partial AAEL017629-RA". The record is from RNAcentral. Lineage: Eukaryota; Metazoa; Arthropoda; Insecta; Diptera; Culicidae.
UUACGAUACAAGACACUCUUGCAGACAUCCCGCCGCGGAUCAGUGUGUAGUAUGUGUGUGUGUGUGUGUGUAACUAACAUGAUGGUAAAAU